Molecule: ribosomal RNA, 540 nt
Filed under: uncultured bacterium
Lineage: Bacteria
Description: partial 16S ribosomal RNA
Rfam family: Bacterial small subunit ribosomal RNA
Source: RNAcentral
UGGGGAAUAUUGGACAAUGGGCGGAAGCCUGAUCCAGCAACGCCGCGUGAGGGAUGACGGCCUUCGGGUUGUAAACCUCUUUCAGUACCGACGAAGCGAAAGUGACGGUAGGUACAGAAGAAGGACCGGCCAACUACGUGCCAGCAGCCGCGGUAAUACGUAGGGUCCGAGCGUUGUCCGGAAUUAUUGGGCGUAAAGGGCUCGUAGGCGGUUUGUCGCGUCGGGAGUGAAAACAGCGGGCUUAACUCGUUGCUUGCUUUCGAUACGGGCAGACUAGAGGUAUGCAGGGGAGAAUGGAAUUCCUGGUGUAGCGGUGAAAUGCGCAGAUAUCAGGAGGAACACCGGUGGCGAAGGCGGUUCUCUGGGCAUUACCUGACGCUGAGGAGCGAAAAGUGUGGGGAGCGAACAGGAUUAGAUACCCUGGUAGUCCACACCGUAAAACGUUGGGCGCUAGGUGUGGGGUCCUUUCCACGGAUUCCGUGCCGUAGCUAACGCAUUAAGCGCCCCGCCUGGGGAGUACGGCCGCAAGGCUAAAAACUC